UUUUUAGUAUAAGUAUGUUUCAUACAAUUUUGGGGAGAUACUUAUGCUAAAA
RNAcentral lists this microRNA precursor (52 nucleotides) under Myotis brandtii (Brandt's bat). Its description in RNAcentral is "mir-1302 microRNA precursor family". It matches the Rfam family "mir-1302 microRNA precursor family". The record is from Rfam by way of RNAcentral. Lineage: Eukaryota; Metazoa; Chordata; Mammalia; Chiroptera; Vespertilionidae.